Molecule: long non-coding RNA, 6957 nt
Organism: Rhinopithecus roxellana (golden snub-nosed monkey)
Lineage: Eukaryota; Metazoa; Chordata; Mammalia; Primates; Cercopithecidae
Exons: 2
Source: RefSeq, a predicted model, not a curated record
AAAAAAAAAAAAAAAAAAAAAAAAGAAAGAAAAAUAAAAAGAAAAAAAAAAAGAAUAAAAACAUUCACCAUCCUUAUCCUCAUGGACUGCCAGUAAAGAAAGAUGCAAAGAAAUCCAAAAUUAAUGUACUACAUAAGUAAAAUACAAAGAAAUAAAAAAUUAAUCACACUACCAAAGAGACAUAAUUUUCCAAUUGAUUUAGGACUGAACACAUGCAUGUAACUACUCUUUUUUCUAAAAUCUCACUAAAGAAUUCUGAAUAGAAUAGAAAAAAAAAUUACAAAGUCUAAACCCCAAAGGACAAAACAGAAUGACAAAGGAGAUGAUAAUAAUAUCUGGGGAGUUGGCUGCCAGAUAGACAAGCGGUAAUUGCCGGUAUCAAAAAAAAAAAAAAAAAAAAAAAAAAAGUAAACCAAAUCCUAAUCUCCCAAUGGCAAAAAAAUAAAAAAGCCAUCUUUACCCUGCUAAUCACCUGACCAUGAAAAGAGUCAAAUUCUGUAAAAUAUUUGAAGAGUAAAUUAUUCUGUAAAAUAUUCUGAGGCAAAUACGAGUGGUCAUGACCCAAGGCACAGUUUCAAGAGGUCCUAAGAACAUGUGCCCAAGGUGGUUGGGUUGACAAAAGACAUUAAUCUACACAUGUGAGGCAUCCAUAGGUUUGGGGGUGAGGACGGGACAGGAGCACGGGUGGGUAGUGUAGGAGUUUAUAGGUCAUAGGGUUAUAGGUGGAGUCAAAGAUUUUCUCAUUGGCAAUUGGUUGAAAGAGUUAUUAUCUAAAAACCUGAAAUCAAUAGAAAGGAGUGUCUGGAGGAAGAUAAAGGGUGAUGGAAACCGAGGUUCUUAUUAUGUAGAUAAAGUCUCAUAGGUGGCUGCCCUUAGAGGCAAUAGAUGGCAGUUGUUUCCUAUUCAUACCUGUAAAGGGUUCUAGUCUCCCAGUUCAUCUCUUUCAGGAUUGGAAGAGACUGAAAAGGAUAAGAUUUAGUGAUGUUCAUCAUAUUCUUGACAGAUGCGAAUUUUCCUUCACAACAGAAGGCUUUGUAGGGCCACUCAAAAUAUGUCAAAGAGACAUAUUUUGGGGUAAAAUAUUUUGAUUUUCUUCUUUAUCUGUCAUUUGAUGUUAUGCCAGAGUAAGGUUAGAAAGUAAGCUGUGUUAUAUAGGAUCAAAUAAAACCCAUCUGGUGAGAUUUUAUGGUUUGUAGGGUGUUACUCAAUCCCCAGGCCUCUUAGGAAUUUGAGCAAGACAGGAAAAAGGUCAGAGUUUAUUCCUCACACCUCCAGAAGUAGUGAUGAAGAUAUGAAUUUUAAAAAAAUAUUUGUUGAAAUUCGGUUUAAAAUAUAAUUAGAAUAUCAGAUCCCCUUGCCCACUUGAUGCUGCCAGGUGAAUACUCCCACACCCCAUUUUGGGAGAUAACUGGAGGAUUCGUUUCCAGAAAAGGGAGAAGAAAGGGUCUCCAGACUGCCAUAGCAAACACCACAGACUGGGUGGCUUAAACAAUAUAAAUUUAUUUUUUCCCAGUACUGGAGGCUGGAAAUUCAUGAUCAAGGUGCAAAGUGCUGUCAGGGUUGGUUUCUGGUGAGGUUUCUCCUCUUGACUUCCCCUCUUGGCUGCCUUCUCACUAUGUCCUCACAUGGCCUUUCUUUUGUGUACUGGAGGAGAGUUCUCUGUUGUCUCUCACACAUCUCAUAAGGACACCUAAAGAUACCAGUUCUACCAUAUCAAGGCCUCACCCUUAUGACCGCACUUAACCUUAAUUACUAAUGUAUAGGCCUAUCCCCAAAUAUACUCACAUUGGAGUUCAGGGCUUUAACAUAUGAAUUUGGGGUAACCAACUCAAUUAAUGACAGUUGUAAGGUUUCUGUGUCGGUUUGAACCCCCAGAGCACGCCAACAGACAACACGAGGCGGUGUGGAGCAACAUGCUGUUUUAAUGAGUGCCUGGGUGCAGGAAGGCUGAGGCCUAAAAUGGUGUCAGCACCAAGUGAGGACAGGACAAAAGUUUUAUAGUCUCCUGUAAACAGGAAGUGUUCUAGUCAGACAUAACUGCUAUAUUGUACCUGGAUGGCCUCUUUCUCAGUCUUAAGGGGCAUGUGUCUUCAGUACAGGGUAGCUGUCUUUCUGCCGGCUCUUUUCCUGUUUCUGCUGUCUUGCCGAAAAGCAGGCUCUUUGCCUGCUUCUGCUGACUUCAGUAGCCUUGUGCCUUAGUAGUGGGCCUGAGAAGGGAGGAGUUAUUCAUCUCCUUAAGCUUUCAGGCCCCAGGGAGAAUCUUACAUUCCUGUCUAUUUGGUUAUAGAUCAAAGGGAAAAGGGGCAACUUUCUCAAUAACUACUUCAGGCGUGAUAGAGGGGGUGGUGUGGGCACCUUGGAAAAAGAAAACCUUAAUUUUUGGGGUAUUGCUGAGAGACGGGUUUGUAUCCACUGUGUCGUUGUAGUAGGAGCAUCAUCUGGAUUGUCUGGAAACGCGUCUGUGCCUGCAAGACAGUUAUGUUGAGAGGACAAGGAGGUGUCAACAGGGAGAGGCAUGGCCUCAUUUGCUGCUUCACGCGUGAAAGACUGUGUCUGGAUUAAGGAGGAGAGGUAAUUUCUGAGUGGCUUAGAGUUUGGUAAGGGUGGAGGCCUUAAGAUAGAAGUUCCGCCAUACACGAUUUUAAAGGGACGAUAAAAAGAGGGUGCUUUUGGUGUUGUGCGGAGUCUCAUGAGGGCAAAAGGGAGAUUGUUUUGUCCAUGGCUGGUGGGUUUUUACAGCCAGCUUGGUGAGUUGGGCUUUAAGGACAGAGUUAAUUUUUUCAACUUUGCCUGAAGAUUGAGACCUGUAGGGUGUGUGGAGAACCUACUUCAUAUUUAAGGAUGUAGAGAUACUUGGGUAAUUUGGCUGAUGAAGGCGGGCCUGUUAUUCAGCUGGAUGGAUGUUGGGAGUCCAAAAUGGGGAAUUAUAUGCAUGAUGAGAGUUUGUGUGACAACAUUUGCACCUUUUGAAGUUGUUGGGAAUGUUUUUACUUAGCCAGAGAAAGUAUAGACAAAGACUAGAAGAUAGCAGAGCCAUUUAUUGGAUGGCCUGUGAGUGAGGUUUACUCACCAAUCUUGCCUUGGUACCUGGCUCCAGGCUUGAUGAGUAGGAAAAGGUGGCGACUGGAGGGAGUCUUGGGGUGACACUGAGUGGCAGAUAGAGCAGGACUGGGUAAUUUCUCAGAAAUGGCUGAAAAGGUGGGGACAAGUAAGAACAGGACGGAGAAGUUGCAAGAGAGGUUUGUAACCGACGUGGAAAGAGUUGUGGAGGCUCUUGCAGGUGAGGAAGGUUUUGAGAGUGAGGAAGAACGAAGCACCUUUCCUUGACAUACCAUGGUCCUUGCUUUUGAAGGUUUUGGGCUCAGAGGUUCUCCUUUUCUUCUGAGGUGUAAAGAGGAGAGAACAAGGACAGGGACAGAAACUGGCCUUGCAUGGGUUGCAGGACUAUUUCUUUCGCUACCUAAUCUGUUAGCGCAUUUCCAACGGAUAUAUGAUUGUCUGGGGUGUGGUGGCCCCUGCAAUGAAUGAUGGCAACUUUCUGCAGGAGCCUGGCAGCUUGAAGGAGUUUGUUGAUGAGAGAGUCAUUUAUGACAGGAGCGUUUUUUGCUGUUAGGAAACCCAGUUUUUUCCAGAUAGACGAAUGUGACUGUACUAUAUGGAACGUAUAAUGAGAAUUUGAAUAUAUGUUAAUUUGUUGUCCGCCUGUCAGUAUGAGAGCUUUAGGAUAGGCAAUGAGUUCAGCUUUUUGAGAGGUAGUGCCUAGGGGGAGUGGAUUGGCUUCAAUAGUAUGUGGGGUGGGGCGGGGACACUAUAGUAUAGCCAGCAUGCUGGCGUCCUUGAUGUAGGAAGGAGCUGCCAUCUACAAACCAAGUAAAGAAGAGGUUGGUCUGUUAGGUUUGGACAAAGUAGAAGAAAGGUUUGAACAGUGUUCACACAGAAGUGCGUAGGGUCUUCAGCUGUUGUAGCUUCAGGUAAAAGCAUGGGUGGGUUUAGACGGGAGCUGGUUAGCAUAGUGAUUUGGGGGAUUUCUAUGACUAGAACAUACAAUUGGAGGAGUCGUGGGGCAGAGAUGAGACGUAGUACACUGCGGUGAGUUGGCAAGUCUUUGAUGUUAUGGGUUGAAUAAACUGUUAGGUUGGCAUGGAGAGAUAGUUUUAGGCUUUUAAGGGUGAGGACAGCAGCUGCUGCCAAUGCUCGGAGGCAGCGGGACAUCCAAGAACUGAGGCUUUAAGCUGUUUAGAGAGGUAGGCAAUAACCUGGGGGUGGGUCCUUUAGCCUGGGUUAGAACACCUAGCGUAACUCUAUGCUGUUUGUCGGUAUAGAGGGAGAAAGGUUUGGUGAGAUCUGGGAGAGUGAGGAUGGGGGCUGAGGUGAGAGCCUUCUGGAGUAGAAGGAAAGGCUAGGUAAUAGGCUGUGCAGAUUUUAAAUGCUCAUGGAGGGGGCAUUAGCAGCUUGGUAUAAUGGUUUGGCAAGUAGAGCGAAGGAGGGAACCUAGAGCCUAAAAUAUCCCGAGAAUCCUAGAAAAAGAGAUUUUUUUGCUUAGUUCGCGGAGGCAGGAGGGAUUGGAGGAGGGAUAUGCAGUCGGCUGUGAGCCCUUGGGUUCACGGGGUAAGAGCUAGACCUAGAUACGUAACUAAGGGGAUGCAUAUUUGUGCUUUCUUAUAGGAGAUCUAAUAUCCCUGUUUUGUCAAGAAGUUUAAAAGAGAGAGAUAGUGUGGGGGUUGCAAUCUUUUUGAGAGGGGCUACACAGGAGCAGAUUAUUAACACAUUGAAGUAGAGUGGAUGGUUUUAGGGAUAAGGUACAGAGGUCACUAGCAAGGGCCUGUCCAAAAAGGUGGGGGCUGUCCCUGAAACCUUGAGGUAGUACGCACCAGGUGAGCUGACGUGAAACGUGGGAGUUGGGGUUUUCCCAUGUAAAGGCAAACAGAUUUGGGGAAUCAAGGUGUAAAGGAAUUGUUUAAAAAAAAAAAAAAAGCAACUUUUAGGUUUAGAAUAGAAAAUUGGGUGGUAUUGGAGGGAACUGCGGAAAGUAAAGUAUAUGGGUUAGGAACUACUGGACAUACUGGGAGUACAGCUUGGUUAAUGAGUCUGAGGUCCUGGACUAAGCGAUAAGUUUCAUCUGGCUUUUUAACAGAUAUAACUGUUUUAAAAGGAGUUUGUUGGGUGGAGUAGGUGACUGGUGAGGAGGCAAGAAAUGAUAGGCUUUAGGCCUAUGAGAGUUGCUUAGGGGAUGGGAUACUGCUUCUGUGACAGGAACUGGGUGGGUUUUUUAAGGGCCAUGUGGAGGGGUGUGGUGUUUUCUGACUGAGUGUGUGGAAGUGUUCUAAACAGCGAGGUUACAGAUGGGGGAUAAGGAAAAGUUGCAUGUUUUAAGGUGGGAGGUUGGAGGAGUAGAAUAAAGUUAAAAGCCCUGGAGGGGUCUGGGUUGAUGUGUUGGGUACUGUGGGGAACACAGAAGUGAAGAGUAGUGUGGAGUUUUGAAAGGAGCGGAGUUUGGCAUGAGGACAGGAGUAAGAAAGAGUGAGUGAAGGAAAAGGUGGCAGGGAGCAGAAAAGUGGAGGGGUGGCUUGGGGUUUGGAGACUUUUCUAUUAAUUUCUACAACAGAGACUUGGGAGAACGUGGUGGGUCCUGAAAAAUUAGGUAAAGCCGUGUAGGUUGCCCUGGUAUUAAUUAAAAAACAUACUGGCCUACCCACCGCCAUCAGGGUUACCCUUGGUUGGGAUGAAGAGAUGGUAGUUGCCAGGGUGUCCAUUUCAGGGCACCAUCAAGUCUUCAGUGGCAAGGCUGAUGAGAUCCGAGUAGGAGGUUUUGGCCGGCUUAGGAAGGAAUGGGGGCGGUCCUUGUGGGGUCCGCUCACAGUCCAACCUCCAGUGGAGUCCUCCACAGAGAGGACAUGGCCUCGUGGGCUUACUUGGGUUUGGGCAUUGUCUGGACCAGUAGACUUCAUUGCCGCACUUGAAACAGGCGCCAGGUGGAGGUGGAUUGCUAGGCGGCUUCCAUGUGGAACUGCAGCCCUGCGGGCCUGCAGGACCCCUGAUGGUGGAGGCGUCCCCCUAAGACCAGAUGAUCAGCAACUGCCUAGCACACACUGGAACCUUCUUGGACCAACGUUGGAUUUUUGGACCGGAGAAACCAAGAGAGUCCAUGCAGAUUUUUCCCUGUUAACAGGGCUCCCAGGAAACUUACUGGUAGGUGAGAUCCGUGACCGAUGUGCAUGCAGAGGGGUGACUGGAGGAUGAGGAGUUUCCUUUGUCGGGCUGCUCUUUGAGGUGGAGGGGUAGGUCCACAGAGGAUUCUGACCUGAGCCCCUCCCAGAUUUCGGGACCAGAAUGUAAAAUUUUUGUAUUGGUUUGAACCCCAAGAGCACAACAGACAACACGAGGGGGUGUGGAGCAACACGCUGUUUUAAUGAGCGCCUGGGUGCAGGUGGGCUGAGGCCUAAAAUGGCAUCAGCACCAAGUGAGGAUGAGACAAAGGUUUUAUAGUCUCCUGUAAACAGGAAGUGUCCUAGUCAGACAUAACUGCUAAGUUGUACCUGGAUGGCUUCUUUCUCGAUCUUCAGGGGUAUGUGUCUUCCCACCAGGGUAGCUGUCUUCUGGCCAGCUCUCUUCCUGCUUCUGCUAUUUUGCUGAUGCUCGCUGCUAAUGUAAGUGGCCUUGUGCUUUGGUACUGGGUCUGAGAAGGGAGGAGUUACUCAUCUCCUUAAGCUUUCAGGCCUCGGGGAGAAUCUUACUAUAGUGAAACCAAAAAGCAUUAAAUAAGUGUUUAUCCACUUGCGCUAUUAUUUAGCUAGCAGUCCCCAUGCAGGAGGCUGGACAAGUCUACUCUGUUAUCUGCACAACCUAAAGAGUCUGACAUGAGGGCAUUUUCCAGCGUGAUGGGCAAAUGGGAUUACCUUACAAUAAACCCCAUCAUGUGCAGAACACACUGUUAAAAAAAAAAAAAAAAAAAAAAAA